ACUCAAAUGAAUUGACGGGGGCCCGCACAAGCGGUGGAACAUGUGGUUUAAUUCGAAGCUACGCGAAGAACCUCACCAGGGCUUGACAUACAGGAAGUAGUGAAGUGAAAGCGGAACGACCCGUUAAGUCGGGAGCCUGUACAGGUGCUGCAUGGCUGUCGUCAGCUCGUGUCGUGAGAUGUUGGGUUAAGUCCCGCAACGAGCGCAACCAUUGUCCUUUGUUGCCACUUCUUUCCAGCUUGCUGGAGGGAAAGCACUCUAAGGAGACUGCCCGGGAUAACCGGGAGGAAGGUGGAGAUGACGUCAAGUCAGUACGGCCUUUAUGCCCUGGGCGACACACGUGUUACAAUGGAUAAUAACAGAGGGUCGCCAACCCGCGAGGGGGAGCUAAUCUCAAAAACUUAUCCUCAGUUCAGAUUGGAGUCUGCAAUCCGACUCCAUGAAGCCGGAAUCGCUAGUAAUGGCAGAUCAGCAGGCUGCCGUGAAUACGUUCCCGGGCCUUGUACACACCGCCCGU
Molecule: ribosomal RNA, 517 nt
Filed under: uncultured bacterium
Lineage: Bacteria
Description: partial 16S ribosomal RNA
Rfam family: Bacterial small subunit ribosomal RNA
Source: RNAcentral